Molecule: ribosomal RNA, 255 nt
Filed under: uncultured bacterium
Lineage: Bacteria
Description: partial 16S ribosomal RNA
Rfam family: Bacterial small subunit ribosomal RNA
Source: RNAcentral
UACGGGGGGGGCAAGCGUUGUUCGGAAUUACUGGGCGUAAAGGGCUCGUAGGCGGCCAACUAAGUCAGACGUGAAAUCCCUCGGCUUAACCGGGGAACUGCGUCUGAUACUGGAUGGCUUGAGGUUGGGAGAAGGAUGCGGAAUUCCAGGUGUAGUCGGUGAAAUGCGUAGAUAUCUGGAGGAACACCGGUGGCGAAGGCGGCGAUCCUGGACCAAUUCUGACGCUGAGGAGCGAAAGCCAGGGGAGCAAACGGG